AACAAGACUAAACUACCCAUCGCUAAGAAAAUAUAAUAAUAUCUAUAAAUUCUUCGAAAAAGAACAAAUUAGCUCGUACCUAACUUUAAUCGAGUUCAUCGACAAAAUUUGAGUAAAACUGUAACAAGUUACAUAUCUCGACGUGGCGAUUUCCACCUUGUAAAGGCGGGAGGCCAAAUAAUCCCCCUCUACCCAAGGGUAGAGUAUUAACAUAAAACCUCAAAAAACAAAAAAAGUAUAUGGCAUUUCUGUCACAAGAAAUUUAGAUUUUAAAUAUAAUUAAAAUGGAGACAAAAAUUCCGCUGAAGUGGAAAGAAAAAUGACACCGUCCUUUUCUUAGACCUAAUAGAGAUCGUUAGGCGAAAAAGGAAACAAUUACUGUAGAUGACUGGGAAUAUAUUGAAUUUAUUUGCAAUUUAAAUUUGUUUUGCUAGGAUUUGGACUCGAAAUUAUCCAAUUUUGAAUAUGACACGACCCAGCUACUCCCCCAAUCCAAUUCAAAUUAAUUUCUUAAUUCGAGCUAUAAUAAUGAUCCUAUCAAAUCCCAUUUCGGUGAUCUGAUAGGGACGCACAGACAGACAUGGCUCUAUCGACUCGGCUAUUGAUGCUGAUCAACAAUAUUAUAAUUUAUGGGGUCGGAAACGUUUCCUUCUGUGCGUUACAUGCAUCCGUUAUUCCCCAUAAAUUCCAUAUACCCUAUUUACUCUUCAACGUAACGCUUCUUUCUGUGUGUAGUUUUCGAAUACCGGGUACAAAAAUGUUAUUAAGAGAUUAAGUAUGAUUUAAAAUCCGUUAAAGCAUUUUUGAACUUAAAGCUGAGGCGGUAGCUGAGGAGAGAAAAACACCUCCCCCAUAAGUUAACGAAUAAGCAUGUGAAAAAUGUAAUAUUUUCCAACUUUUCCUGAGUUUUUAAAGAGAAAACUGCGUAAAAGUACCUUACAAAAAGAAAAAUUUUUGCAUUUCAAAGCCUAUUAUUUUUGAAACGGUAAGCUAAAACCACAAAGUGUUUGGGUAUACGUUUCAAAUUCAUUAAUCAGCUUUAUAGAAUGGCUAGGUUCAUUAAAACCAGAUGAAAG
RNAcentral lists this long non-coding RNA (1076 nucleotides) under Drosophila guanche. Lineage: Eukaryota; Metazoa; Arthropoda; Insecta; Diptera; Drosophilidae. The record is from RNAcentral.